RNAcentral lists this ribosomal RNA (482 nucleotides) under uncultured bacterium. RNAcentral describes it as "partial 16S ribosomal RNA". It matches the Rfam family "Bacterial small subunit ribosomal RNA", at positions 29 to 523 of the family's 1533-position model. The record is from RNAcentral.
AAUGAACGUUGGCGGCGUGGAUUAGGCAUGCAAGUCGAGCGAUAACCGUAGCAAUACGGCGAAAGCGGCGUAAGGGAGAGUAAUGCAUGGAUAUCUACCCUCGGGUCUGGGAUAGCUGCGGGAAACUGCAGGUAAUACCAGAUGACAUCUCCGGAUCGAAGGUGUGAUUCCGCCCGGGGAGGGGUCCAUGUCCCAUUAGCUUGUUGGUGAGGUAACGGCCCACCAAGGCUGAGAUGGGUACGAGGUGUGAGAGGACGACCUCGCUCACUGGGACUGAGACACUGCCCAGACACCUACGGGUGGCUGCAGUCGAGAAUCUUCGGCAAUGGGCGCAAGCCUGACCGAGCGACGCCGCGUGCGGGAUGAAGGCCUUCGGGUUGUAAACCGCUGUCAGUGGGGAGGAGAUUCCAUAGGGUAAUCUCUAUGGAUUGACCUAUCCGCAGAGGAAGGAUGGGCUAAGUUCGUGCCAGCCGCCGCAGUAA